This 871-nucleotide ribosomal RNA is filed under the name uncultured Lysobacter sp. Its description in RNAcentral is "bacterial SSU rRNA". It matches the Rfam family "Bacterial small subunit ribosomal RNA", at positions 33 to 893 of the family's 1533-position model. The record is from RNAcentral. Lineage: Bacteria; Pseudomonadati; Pseudomonadota; Gammaproteobacteria; Lysobacterales; Lysobacteraceae.
ACGCUGGCGGCAGCCUAACACAUGCAAGUCGAACGGCAGCACAGAGGAGCUUGCUCCUUGGGUGGCGAGUGGCGGACGGGUGAGGAAUACGUCGGAAUCUGCCUAUUUGUGGGGGAUAACGUAGGGAAACUUACGCUAAUACCGCAUACGACCUACGGGUGAAAGUGGGGGACCUUCGGGCCUCACGCAGAUAGAUGAGCCGACGUCGGAUUAGCUAGUUGGCGGGGUAAAGGCCCACCGAGGCGACGAUCCGUAGCUGGUCUGAGAGGAUGAUCAGCCACACUGGAACUGAGACACGGUCCAGACUCCUACGGGAGGCAGCAGUGGGGAAUAUUGGACAAUGGGCGCAAGCCUGAUCCAGCCAUGCCGCGUGUGUGAAGAAGGCCUUCGGGUUGUAAAGCACUUUUGUCCGGAAAGAAAAGCUUAGGGUUAAUAACCCUGAGUCAUGACGGUACCGGAAGAAUAAGCACCGGCUAACUUCGCGCCAGCAGCCGCGGUAAUACGAAGGGUGCAAGCGUUACUCGGAAUUACUGGGCGUAAAGCGUGCGUAGGUGGUUUGUUAAGUCUGAUGUGAAAGCCCUGGGCUCAACCUGGGAAUGGCAUUGGAAACUGGCUUACUAGAGUGCGGUAGAGGGUAGUGGAAUUCCCGGUGUAGCAGUGAAAUGCGUAGAUAUCGGGAGGAACAUCUGUGGCGAAGGCGACUACCUGGACCAGCACUGACACUGAGGCACGAAAGCGUGGGGAGCAAACAGGAUUAGAUANCCUGGUAGUCCACGCCCUAAACGAUGCGAACUGGAUGUUGGGGGCAACUUGGCCCUCAGUAUCGAAGCUAACGCGUUAAGUUCGCCGCCUGGGAAGUACGGUCGCAAGA